UGGGGAAUAUUGCACAAUGGGCGAAAGCCUGAUGCAGCAACGCCGCGUGAGUGAUGAAGGCCUUCGGGUUGUAAAGCUCUGUCUUUUGGGACGAUAAUGACGGUACCAAAGGAGGAAGCCACGGCUAACUACGUGCCAGCAGCCGCGGUAAUACGUAGGUGGCAAGCGUUGUCCGGAUUUACUGGGCGUAAAGGAUGCGUAGGCGGAUUUUUAAGUGAGAUGUGAAAACCCUAGCUUAACUUGGGGACUGCAUUUCAUACUGGAAAUCUAGAGUGCGGGAGAGGAGAAUGGAAUUCCUAGUGUAGCGGUGAAAUGCGUAGAGAUUAGGAAGAACACCAGUGGCGAAGGCGAUUCUCUGGACCGUAACUGACGCUGAGGCAUGAAAGCGUGGGUAGCAAACAGGAUUAGAUACCCUGGUAGUCCACGCCGUAAACGAUGAGUACUAGGUGUAGGAGGUAUCGACCCCUUCUGUGCCGCAGUUAACACAAUAAGUACUCCGCCUGGGAAGUACGAUCGCAAGAUUAAAACUUAAA
RNAcentral lists this ribosomal RNA (533 nucleotides) under uncultured bacterium. Its description in RNAcentral is "partial 16S ribosomal RNA". It matches the Rfam family "Bacterial small subunit ribosomal RNA", at positions 355 to 905 of the family's 1533-position model. The record is from RNAcentral.